Molecule: long non-coding RNA, 1429 nt
Organism: Gallus gallus (chicken)
Lineage: Eukaryota; Metazoa; Chordata; Aves; Galliformes; Phasianidae
Source: Ensembl
AUCUUUGGUUAGAGACCCCUCUUUUGUGGAGUUUUCAUUGUGAGCCUUGAUCUUCGGAGAUGGCCACAAGAUAAGAAGUCAAGGACGAAGAGACAGAUAGUCUGAAGCCUGGCUCCAUCAGCGCAUCUGUACGAAGUGUUCUCGCGCCUGCCCGGGAAUGACAGUCCAAUUUCACGAAUCCAAAGUCUGACACCUCCCACCGGUGUCACACUGCUUGUUGUUUCUCUCCUUUUGAUUUCUCUUUGAAAAUCUCAGUUCAUUUCAUGGUCAGAUAACCCCCUCCUCGAUCCCCACUGUUCAUCAGAGCCCUUCACAACCUGGCGCUGGAUGAAAGGACUGUAUAGCUAAUUUAUGGGAAAUCAGUAAUUGAAUCUUGGCUGCUCUCGUAAAUCAUAUCACCCGGCUAUCAAACAGCUGUGAGCAGAGUAACGUAUUCCAAAACCUACAUAAUUGAUGACUUCUUUGCAAUAGUCCAGCACACACGACUGGUGAUUUUACUUAGGCUUAUUUCUUCCUCCCAACAAUGUUUUGAAGUUUCCUUCAAUGAGGAAAGCUCAGCUCUCUGAUAUCUGAGUGGCCAAAGCCAUUAAAGAGAAGAUGCUGAUAAAAGGAGAAUAUAAUCCAAAUUGAUGGGCAAACUGAAGAAUCCAUCUUGCUUUUUCUUAAAGGGAUUGGGAGUGAUAAAAGCACCUGAGGAGGGAAGCUGUAUCUCUGUGGCUAGGCUGUGUUUAUGGACUGGAGAAGUGCUGAUGGAAAUGGGGCUGCUGUGAACAGAGCAAGUUACAUAUGGGCUCCUGCCAGUAGCACGCACACCUCAUGUGCACCUCAGGGCUCUUGAUGAGGCAUUAUCUGAGCAAAGCCUGAAAGUGCAUGCUCACCAGCUGUGGGCUGAGGCCAAGUGCUAACGGGGUGCUUGAAUAUAUUCUAUCUAGGGCCAGAUGUGUGUUUAAACACCAGCAUCUGCAGAGGCAGCCUGUGCGUGUUUGCUGCAUCCCUCUCCAUCCCAGACACUGCGGGAGCUCUGGUGAGGCCAGGACCUGAAUGUCCUGUGCUGAGCAGAUGUACACAUCUGGCAGUAUUCCCUUGGAUGCGAUCCUUUAGGAAGUAACUGCUGAAUCUAUCUGCAGUGGGUUUGGGGUUCACCCUGCAGCUUUGAUGGCCCCACACUGCCAGGCAAAUGGCUGCUAUGGCACGAGCUUUGCUGCUGCUUCUUUGCAAGGGAGAAAAGAGCUCUGAUACAGUGCUCUAUGGCUGAGCGUGUAAUGGUGUCUGCACCUAAAAUCCUGCAGGCUGCCUUGAGCACUGGAGUUGCUGCGGAAAGCAAUGCUCUGUUGUGGCAGAAAAGAGGUUCUAUAAGCCAGGACCAAAGCACAGCCUCAGUGACGUGUGACUUUUCCUAUCCCUUUAACAAAGGUGCUUGCUGAGACAC